UUUCGGAACGAGAGGGAGUGGCGGACGGGUGAGUAACACAUGGGUGACCUGGCCUGAAGAGAGGGAUACCGGCGAGAAAUCGCCGACAAGCCCGCAUAGGUUCUUUUUCGUGGGUGGGAGAGAGCAAAGUUCUUUUUCGGAAGGACGCUUUGGGAUGGGCCUGUGGCCGAUUAGCUAGUUGGUGGGGUAAGAGCCUACCAAGGCGACGAUCGGUAGCUGGUCCGAGAGGACGAUCAGCCACACUGGGAUUGAGAACGGCCCAGACUCCUACGGGGGGCAGCAGUGAGGAAUUUUCCGCAAUGGACGAAAGUCUGACGGAGCAACGCCGCGUGCAGGAGGACGCUUUUCGGA
RNAcentral lists this ribosomal RNA (351 nucleotides) under uncultured bacterium. RNAcentral's name for it is "bacterial SSU rRNA". It matches the Rfam family "Bacterial small subunit ribosomal RNA", at positions 77 to 422 of the family's 1533-position model. The record is from RNAcentral.